Long non-coding RNA from Hippocampus comes (tiger tail seahorse), 413 nucleotides. RefSeq lists it as uncharacterized. NCBI's taxonomy places the organism in Eukaryota, Metazoa, Chordata, Actinopteri, Syngnathiformes, Syngnathidae. The record is from RefSeq and is a predicted model, not a curated record. The transcript has 3 exons.
CCAUGGUCUCCGCAUCUCAAUUUGCCUUUCUCAGAUACUAUUGUACUCAGAACCGGAUUACAAGGGAGAGUGCCGUAUCUUCAACUACAAAGAGGAAGCCGCAACAGAAGAAUUCCAGACCAAGUCCUGCAGAGUUGUUGGAGGAAGCUGGGUUCUCUAUGAGAAUAAAGACUUUUCAGGGACCAUGUAUGUCUUAUCAGAAGGAGGCUAUCGCUCAUUAACAAGCAUGGGCUGCCCACCAAACACCUUCAUCCGCUCCGUCAAGGCUGUGCCGAUGAGUUUCUCAGUUCCAUCCAUCUCAUUGUUUGGACUGGAAGGGCUGGAGGGAAGGGAGAUCUCAACAGACUCUGAGCUUCUCAACAUGCAAGCGGAGGGCUUCAAUGACCACGUCCUUUCGGUCAGAGUCAACAGUG